This 253-nucleotide ribosomal RNA is filed under the name uncultured bacterium. RNAcentral's name for it is "partial 16S ribosomal RNA". It matches the Rfam family "Bacterial small subunit ribosomal RNA", at positions 524 to 776 of the family's 1533-position model. The record is from RNAcentral.
UACGGAGGGCGCAAGCGUAGUUCGGAAUUACUGGGCGUAAAGCGCGUGUAGGCGGCCAGGUAAGUCGGAUGUGAAACCCCGGCGCCCAACCCCGGAACUGCACCGGAUACUGCCUGGCUGGAGUCCCGGAGAGGAUGGCGGAAUUUCCGGUGUAGAGGUGAAAUUCGUAGAUAUCGGAAGGAACUCGAGUGGCGAAGGCGGCCAUCUGGACGGUGACUGACGCUGAGACGCGAAAGCGUGGGGAGCAAACAGG